AAAUGGGAAGACGUUUCUCAAGGUUCCAACCCGCACCGUUGGUUGUUGCGGGCUACUAGAAGACUUGGCUAGAUGAGAGUUUAGCGGAAUGGUUGACUAGGGCGAAGGGAUCCCUUCGGGGUGAACGAAGUGGGACUGAGGGGGGCCGAGAAAAUCCCCACAGCAAUACCAUGCAUCUGACCGUACUGCAAACCGACACAGGUAGGUGAGUCGAGAAGACUAAGGCGUUCGAGAGAACUCUCGUUAAGGAACUAGGCAAAUGAGCCCCGUAACUUCGGAAUAAGGGGCGCCCCGCAAGGGGCCGCAGCGAAGCAUCCCAGGCGACUGUUUACCAAAAACACAGGUCUCUGCUAAGACGAAAGUCGAUGUAUAGGGGCUGACGCCUGCCCAAUGCCCGUAGGUUAACAGGAGAUGUUAGGAGCAAUCCGAAGCAUUGAAUCGAAGCCCGGGUGAAUGGCGGCCGUAACUCUAACGGUCCUAAGGUAGCGAAAUUCCUUGUCGGCUAAAUACCGACCCGCAUGAAAGGCGUAACGACUUGGGAACUGUCUCAACGAGAAGCUCGGUGAAAAUGUAGCGCCCGUGAAGAUGCGGGCUAUGCGCAGUAGGACGGAAAGACCCCGUGGAGCUUUACUACACCUUGUGAUUGUGAAUUGGAUGUAGAUGUAGAGCGUAGGUGGGAGCUUCGGCACCAAUGGAACACCACCCUUCUACAUCUGGUUUACUAACUGUUGCCCUGAUCGGGUAACAAGACAAUCACUGGCGGGUAGUUUGACUGGGGCGGUCGCCUCCCAAAAUGUAACGGAGGCGUCUAAAGUUACACUCAGGCUGGUUGGAAAUCAGCCGUCGAGCAUAUUGGUAUAGAGUGUGAUUGACUGCGAGACACACAGGUCAAGCAGGUACGAAAGUAGAGCAAAGUGACCCUCUGGUUGUGCGUGGGCACGCCAGGGUUCAUCGGAUAUAAGCUACCCCGGGGAUAACAGGCUGAUCUUGCCCGAGCGCUCACAGCGACGGCAUGGUUUGGCACCUCGAUGUCGGCUCGUCUCAUCCUGGGGCUGUACACGGUCCCAAGGGUUCCGGAGUUCACGGAUUAAAGAGGCACGCGAGCUGGGUUCAGAACGGCGUGAGCCAGUUCGGUCCCUAUCCACUGUGCACGUAAGAAAUUUGAAGGGAGUCGCUCUUAGUACGAGAGGACCGGAGCGAACCGACCUCUGGUGUACCAAUUGUUCCGCCAGGAGCAUACGUUGGGUAGCCACGUCGGGCAGGGAUAAGCGCUGAAAGCAUCUAAGCGCCAAGCCCACCCUAAGAUUAGAUUUCUCAUCAAUAUGAGUAAGGCCUCUGGAAGACCACCAGAUUGAUAGGUCGCAGCUGUACGCACGGUAACGUGUUUAGGUAAGCGAUACUAAUUGGCCGAGGGCUCAAAA
Molecule: ribosomal RNA, 1421 nt
Filed under: metagenome
Description: bacterial LSU rRNA
Rfam family: Bacterial large subunit ribosomal RNA
Source: RNAcentral